CCGGUCGGCACCAGCGUCCAGCGGCUACCAUUUCAUCGCCGGCAGUCCAAGCUCGAGCUCCACCUACAGCCAAAGAGCGAGCUCCGGCAACCGGCGGGCACCAUACAAUUGCUGCUCCUCCACCUCCACCAUUAUCUAGAUUUUGAGCUAUUGAGGAUGAUAUUUGGGACUAGUUUGGAAGAGGCAUGGAUUGGAAACGUUGGAGAACAACAAGAUUAA
Molecule: long non-coding RNA, 219 nt
Filed under: Oryza sativa Indica Group (long-grained rice)
Lineage: Eukaryota; Viridiplantae; Streptophyta; Magnoliopsida; Poales; Poaceae
Description: lncRNA OsMH63_02G005720
Source: RNAcentral